CAUUAACUAUAAGUUUCAAACUUCAUACUCUCAACAAUAUACAUUUGUUUUAACAGUGUGUAUAACGCAUCGCAAUUUGUURCUAUUUCAUUCCAUUARAUCUUGAAAAUAUUGUAUUAUCUUCAGUCAAAACAGUGUCUGUACGCACAACUUGUACAUUACGUCAUAUUUUUGCGUUGUCAUAAGCCUUAACUUUGCCAAGUUAGAAAUGUUUAAGUUGCGAGUUGUAAGCUUCCUCAUGUCAUGCUUGGUUUGUUCAAGUUUGUUUCGCAUUCAGAGCAAGAGUAAGUUGGUUAAAAAACCCAGCCUGAUUUUGUUAUGAUUGGGAAUGAAGAUUUCAUAAACUGAUUUUCAGUGUAAGUAAACUCGUUGCAGUCAUAUGCAAUCCUGCAUCCACAAAUUAUGUGAUUAUGUUAAAUAUGUGKUAACUUUUUUACAUGAUUAUAGGAAAACAUGUACUAAACAAAUGUGUAGGUUACAAUCAGAGAGGACAACCUCUUUCUCUGCUACAGUGUUGCACCCUUUCCARUGGGUACAGACAUCAGUUCAACGUCGUUUUGAUUUACAUUUUGUUGAGUUGUCAACUAACGUMAAAURAACGUGAAAUCAACAACYAUGUCACCACAUCAUCUGAUUUAAGUUAAAAGUUGUGUGAAAAAAAUACGAAAUGGCCUUAUGUUGAUGACUUUUGGCAKAUCCAAUCAUUUCCCCACGCUUAUUCAACGCAAUUACAUAUAAUUAUUUUAUGACGUGGAAACAACGUUGAUUCAACCAUUUUUUCCCCCAGUAGGGUGUCUGUCAGUAGAUUAUAAUAAAAUAGCUAGAAUAGAACAGAAUAGACUGGAAUACAAUACAAUAGAAUAUCGGUUACAAGCAAAAUCAUUCCCCGACAACAACAGGCAAGAACUGUCACUAUAUAGGGUUGUUAAAGACUGUCACAAUGGUGGGUAUAUGGCAGCGACGACCUAUAAAGAACAAUAAUGGUCAAGGACCAAGGACUCAUCAUUAGGUCGCGCGCUCAUAGAAUGGGACACGGCGGCGCACUGUCCUCAAAGUCCCCUUCCCAUUCAUGCUGUGGCAGGAGAGACGGGGAGAAAAUAUCCAUCGAGGCACUUAGCUACAGCCAAAGCGAUGCACCACAUGCAUUUCAGAUGCUUACAUUCAGAUGUGGCAACAAUGAUUCUGUAUCACGAAAAUGUAACGAAUACCGAUGUGAAUCGGUCUAUUGCGCACCAAAUAGUCACGUAAUGCGUGUUUUAAUCUCAGUAUUUUGUGGUCACCGACUGGCAUAGUUAUUUUUGUCGAGAUAUUUUGAUACCUCCGUGAAAAAGUAUUUUUCUUUCAACAGCAUGCGUUCAGCACAACAUCCCUGCUGGAGCUAUUAUUGKUUAUUUAAUCAUCAAUCGUUUUAUUUUAUGUUUUUCAAGAACGUGGAGCAGRGUUUUGCAUGAAGUGAUGAAGUCAGAUGSCAAUGCAGUGGAAUCUGAACCCGGUAGAGUACAGCCAGCGCGUGCUGUGGUCGUGGAGCGGAUAAAUGCCAUAGCGUGAAGCGCUAACCCCCACGAAGAGAACUCCAUGUCUUUCUUGGACUGCUCCUGCAUCUCCCCCACUCAGGUCCAGCCAAUCAGCAUAGAGGACCAGUAUGAGGACGUCAGCCACCAAUACCUGAGCUCUGACGUCUCAGAAUGCACUUUCACCUGGGGUGGUGGCAGCAGCGAUGACAUCACAGCGCUCUC
Salvelinus sp. IW2-2015 is the source of this 1736-nucleotide non-coding RNA. The record is from RefSeq and is a predicted model, not a curated record. NCBI's taxonomy places the organism in Eukaryota, Metazoa, Chordata, Actinopteri, Salmoniformes, Salmonidae.